UUGGUUUGAUCCUGGCUCAGAUUGAACGCUGGCAGGAUGCCCAUGAGUCCGGCGACGACUUUGGCGGACUUUCUCCGGUCUGGUGGCGAGUGGCGAACGGGUGAGUAAUGUAUCGGAACGUGCCUGACGGAGGCUAACUACGCAGUGGCUGAAGCGCCGCGGCAAGCGCAUUCGGGGGAAAGCGGGGGACCUUCCGGGCCUCGCACUAUUAGAGCGGCCGAUAUCGGAUUAGCUAGUUGGUGGGGUAACGGCUCACCAAGGCGACGAUCCGUAGCUGGACCCGAGGGCGAUGACACGCUGGGACUGAGACACGGCCCAGACUCCUACGGGAGGCAGCAGUGGGGGUGCUGGACAAUGGGGGAAACCCUGAUCCAGCCAUCCCGCGUGUGCGAUGGCGCCUUCGGGUUGCAAAAGCACUUUUGGCGGAAAGCGGCACGGGAUAAUACCCCGUGCAACUGACAACCUGCAGGAUGGCGCACCGGCUGGCUGCGGCCGCCCGGCAACCGCGGUGGCGUACGUGGUGCGAAGCGUUGUUCCGGGAAUUACUGGAAAAACCGUAAAGCGCGGCGCGCAGGCGGUUCCGGGAGAGAAGUUCUAUUGAGAAAUCCCAGAGCUUAACUGCCUGGAACUGCAUUUUUAGCACUGCGGGCUUCAGGAACCGGCCGUGUCCAGGAGGUGGAAUUCCGCGUGUCGCGCAGUGAAAUGUACGUAGUAGAUAUGCGGAGGAACACCGAUGGCGAAAGCGUACUCCUGGGAUAACACUGACGCUCAUGCACGAAAGCGUGGGGAGCAAGCAAGUUAGAUACGGUGGUCGCUGACGAUGUCGACUGGCUGUUUUGGGGCCUUCGGAACCUUGUGUGCAGCUAACGUGGAGUUGACCGCCUGGGAAGCGGUCGCAAGAUUAAAACUCAAAGGAAUUGACGGGGACCCACUGGGCGGGCGGAUGAUGUGGAUUAAUUCGAUGCAACGCGAAACUACUACCUUGACAUGUGGGAUCCGAAGAGAGAUUUGGGAGGUGCUCGCAAGAGAACCGGGACUUUGGGGUGCUGCAUGGCUGUGGUCAGAGCUUCGUGUCAUUGAGAUUGGGUUAAAAUCUGUGGCGCAGCACUGUCAUUAGUUGCUGCGGGAACUCUAAUGAGACUGCCAGUGACAAACCGGAGGAAGGUGGGGACCGUCAGAUCCUCCUUUUGGUACGCAGCGUGGGUGGGCUUCACACGUCAUACAAUGGUCGGGACAGAGGGUCGCCAACCCGCGAGGAGGAACCAAUCCAGAAACCCGAUCGUAGUCGGAUCUGGUUAACGACUCUAUUUCAAACUGCGUGAAGUGGAAUCGUUGUGUCGCCGGAUCGUAUCUUACGGUAGAAUACGUUCAGGUCUUGUACACCUGUAGCAUCGCACCAUGAGAUGGGUUUCAAGAACAGUUGCUUCUUCUUUCAUGGGAGCGGUCACCACGGUAGGAUUCAUGACUGGGGUGAAGUCGUAACAAGGUAACUCUAUUAAAACUACCUGAUGCUCAGAACACUUUG
Molecule: ribosomal RNA, 1525 nt
Filed under: uncultured Bordetella sp.
Lineage: Bacteria; Pseudomonadati; Pseudomonadota; Betaproteobacteria; Burkholderiales; Alcaligenaceae
Description: partial 16S-23S ribosomal RNA intergenic spacer
Rfam family: Bacterial small subunit ribosomal RNA
Source: RNAcentral